AGCAGCCGCGGUAAUUCCAGCUCCAAUAGCGUAUAUUAAAGUUGUUGCAGUUAAAAAGCUCGUAGUUGAAUUUUGGAUUCUUCCAAUUGGUCCAUCUUUUAGAUGAGUACUGGUUGUGUGGGGUCUAUCCGCCUGGUGAUACGUAAUGUCCUUUAUUGGAUGUUUCGGGUAGUCAGGACCUUUACCUUGAAAAAAUUAGAGUGUUUAAAGCAGGCUUAUGCCGGAAUACAUUAGCAUGGAAUAAUAGAAUAGGACGAAGUUGUUUUAUUUUGUUGGUUUCUAGGACAACCGUAAUGAUUAAUAGGGAUAGUUGGGGGCAUUAGUAUUCAAUUGUCAGAGGUGAAAUUCUUGGAUUUAUUGAAGACUAACUACUGCGAAAGCAUUUGCCAGGGAUGUUUUCAUUAAUCAAGAACGAAAGUUAGGGGAUCGAAGACGAUCAGAUACCGUCGUAGUCUUAACCAUAAACUAUGCCGACUAGGGAUCGGGCGAUGUUGUUUCCAUGACUCGCUCGGCACCUUAU
Molecule: ribosomal RNA, 520 nt
Filed under: uncultured Archaeospora
Lineage: Eukaryota; Fungi; Glomeromycota; Glomeromycetes; Archaeosporales; Archaeosporaceae
Description: SSU rRNA
Rfam family: Eukaryotic small subunit ribosomal RNA
Source: RNAcentral